GCUAACUAUUUGCUGGGAGCUAGUUUUAGAGAGACCUGCUGUGGAAAACUCAGCCAGAAGCUAGCAAGUGUCAAGUGAAUCCACAACAUUACCACAAACAAACAAGCCAGAGAGUGGAGAGGAGGAAGACUGGAUAAGAAGAGUGAAAGAGAGAAAAGAUUGGAGAGGAAGGAGAAGGAAAAAUGAAGAGAGUAAAAAGAGUGAAGUGAUGAGAUUGCAGAAGAUUGAGGUGGAAAUUUGAAGAGAAGGAAAGAAAGAAAGAGCAGUAAGAUGAGUGAAGAAAAGAG
This is a long non-coding RNA of Oncorhynchus tshawytscha (Chinook salmon), 287 nucleotides long. RefSeq lists it as uncharacterized. NCBI's taxonomy places the organism in Eukaryota, Metazoa, Chordata, Actinopteri, Salmoniformes, Salmonidae. The record is from RefSeq and is a predicted model, not a curated record. The transcript has 3 exons.